RNAcentral lists this ribosomal RNA (541 nucleotides) under uncultured bacterium. Its description in RNAcentral is "bacterial SSU rRNA". It matches the Rfam family "Bacterial small subunit ribosomal RNA", at positions 355 to 896 of the family's 1533-position model. The record is from RNAcentral.
UGGGGAAUAUUGGUCAAUGGGCGAGAGCCUGAACCAGCCAAGUAGCGUGCAGGAUGACGGCCCUAUGGGUUGUAAACUGCUUUUGUAUGGGGAUAAAGUCAAUCACGUGUGAUUGUUUGCAGGUACCAUACGAAUAAGGACCGGCUAAUUCCGUGCCAGCAGCCGCGGUAAUACGGAAGGUCCGGGCGUUAUCCGGAUUUAUUGGGUUUAAAGGGAGCGUAGGCUGGAGAUUAAGUGUGUUGUGAAAUGUAGACGCUCAACGUCUGACUUGCAGCGCAUACUGGUUUCCUUGAGUACGCACAACGUUGGCGGAAUUCGUCGUGUAGCGGUGAAAUGCUUAGACAUGACGAAGAACUCCGAUUGCGAAGGCAGCUGACGGGAGCGCAACUGACGCUGAAGCUCGAAGGUGCGGGUAUCGAACAGGAUUAGAUACCCUGGUAGUCCGCACAGUAAACGAUGGAUGCCCGCUGUUGGUACUUGGUAUCAGCGGCUAAGCGAAAGCAUUAAGCAUCCCACCUGGGGAGUACGCCGGCAAGCGGUG